The sequence is a ribosomal RNA, 327 nucleotides long. It matches the Rfam family "Bacterial small subunit ribosomal RNA", at positions 104 to 422 of the family's 1533-position model.
GGGUGAGUAACACGUGGGUAACCUGCCUCAAAGAGGGGAAUAGCCUCCCGAAAGGGAGAUUAAUACCGCAUAAUAUGUUUUGAUCGCAUGAUCUUAACAUCAAAGGAAUUUUUCGGAAUUUCACUUUGAGAUGGACCCGCGGCGCAUUAGCUAGUUGGUGAGGUAAAGGCCCACCAAGGCAACGAUGCGUAUCCGACCUGAGAGGGUGAUCGGCCACAUUGGAACUGAGACACGGUCCAGACUCCUACGGGAGGCAGCAGUGGGGAAUAUUGCGCAAUGGGGGAAACCCUGACGCAGCACGCCGCGUGAAUGAUGAAGGCCUUCGGG